Eucalyptus grandis is the source of this 1981-nucleotide RNA transcript. RefSeq lists it as uncharacterized. The record is from RefSeq and is a predicted model, not a curated record. The transcript has 3 exons. NCBI's taxonomy places the organism in Eukaryota, Viridiplantae, Streptophyta, Magnoliopsida, Myrtales, Myrtaceae.
AUAAAGAUGUGGGUGAUCUUGGCAUCAUGAUGUGUGUAUUAGGUGAUUCUGGAAGUAUGGCACUCUCAUUUUCUGUAAUCUGCAGUCAGUAUACUGGAACGCAUGUACAUUGGCUCAAACCAAGCAGGAAAAAGGCCAGAAGAGUUUGCGCCAUGUCAUAACCGAGUAAAAGCCUUAAUUAUUGUCGGACUCCGACUUGGGUUGAUCAUUAGUCGAAUGUGAUGCUUGAAGGUACUCUACUUUAUUUGCAAAUCCUACAACAGUAUUUACCCCUGUUUAUAAUCAUUCUUUAUUAAUGGUUUGUGGAUUCCAUGUUCGUAAAAUAUUUUCAGCUGCCAACUCACAUGAGAGGAGGAAAUGGCAAGGUAGCUUAUAUCGACACAAAAGGAAGCAAAAGGAACUUUGUAUGCUAUUAUAAUCUGUCUGUAUUUUUCUUGACCUUGACAAAGCUGCUUGUGCUUCAUAAACGCCGUCUGUCCAUGUAAGCGCAUGUGCACUUCCUUAACUUGGUACACCUGCAGUUGCGGUGAUUGAAUUGUACCACUUGCCAAGAGAUUUGGCAUGGAUCCUGCUGCAGUCCUAGAUAAUAUCAUUUAUGCCCGUGUCUAUACUUAGGAGCAUCAGUAAGAUUUGCUUCUUGAUUUGGAUGCCAAAAUGUGUGAAGAACCAUUUAGAUUACUAAUAAGACAGUGCUCGAGAAUGAAACUGCACACAUUUUGUGAGGUGUGGAUGGUUGACCUUAGGUGAGUAACAUCUUUCAGAUUAUGUAUUCGAUGAUCCCUCUCUUUCAAAUGGGUAUUAUUGGAAGGGGAGAACUUGCAAAGAGCCAGGUCCAUUGUAACCGUCAAAUCAUGCGAGUUGUGAUUUUUGAGCUUAUCUUGUUUGACACUAAAAAAUUCCGAAUUGCAGCAAAAAUUCGCACAAGUGCUCUCAGGCUUACUUAAGAUAGCUAAGGAAUUUAAUGUGGCGGUGUGCAUAACCAAUCAAGCAUCAAAGAAACCUGCAGGAGGGCAUGUUCUGGCUCAUGCAGCCACAAUUAGGUUGAUGCUUAGGAAAGGCAGAGGUGAGCAGCGGGUUUGCAAGGUGUUCAAAGCCCCAAACCUACCUAAAGCUGAAGCUACAUCCUUUUUGUGCCGGACCUUCUUCUUGCCAUACACUUCAUUGAAAUCUACCAGAUUAUACUGCAGAGACCAAACAAAAUAUCUAGAAAUUUUUAUCAAUUGGAGAGAGUCGAUACUAAGUCUAUAUAUGGAUAGGUGGAGACCAGAAUUUGAACAGUAUACUUGCAGUGUACUUACAUGCGCAGCCUGUGCUAUGGAAACAAAAUACCCAACCAUUGGUGAUGCCAUACUGCAGAUCUUCCUCUAGUUAUAUACUUCGUUGAAAUUUAUCAGACCAUACUGCGGAGAUCAAGUGAAAGUCCGGAAGUCUAUAUCAAAAUCUGUGAGACAGUGUAUACUUAGUCAACAUAGGGAUAGGCGGAGACCUGAUUUAAGCAUGAUACUCACGGUAUACUUGAUGUUGCUUGGAGAUCCAUGAACACGUUGAAUACGAAUUUUGUGUGGAGGAAUUAAACAAAAAGAAGUGGAUAUCGGGAAUUUUCCUCUGUAGGAUUGGCAUAUUAUUAUUAGCUGUGCUGUUAUGUAGAUGAUGCACAUCUAUCCAGACCAUCACUCAAGUUUGUCAGAAAAUUUAGCAAGAGCUGAGAUUUAUUCCAUCCAUGUUGAACUUGACAAACACACGUUUUUCAGAUAACACCAGGAGGCAUUGCUGAUGCUAAGGACCGAAGAAGUCUCUCCAACCAGGAAGGCAGGCGAAAUGCUUUUUUUUUUUUUUUUUUUUGGUUAAUCUGCAAUUUGAUGUUAGUCAUCGUAUUGACAGCUAGAGGCAUAUAAUGAGCUCCCAAGCACUUGUUCAUUUCCUUUCUCUGCAAUGGACACUUUGUCGCCCUUGUCAUAGCUUGUCCCUAAGUUUCAUGUGC